Molecule: long non-coding RNA, 4532 nt
Filed under: Prunus persica (peach)
Lineage: Eukaryota; Viridiplantae; Streptophyta; Magnoliopsida; Rosales; Rosaceae
Description: long non-coding RNA (PPER_LNC005626)
Source: RNAcentral
CUAUUUAUCUACACAACUGCCAUUUCCUUGCUGUUCAGUCUGAAACGUCGUCGUGUCGUUUUUGUUGCAGAUGACGAGGGUGAGACGAAGCAUCUAGAAGCCCUAGAAGGAGCAUCGACGCGUCUCCGUCUCUUCCAGAUCGACCUCCUCGACUACAACUCCAUCUUCGCCGCCAUCAAUGGCUGCUCCGGCGUCUUCCACCUCGCCUCUCCUUGCAUCGUCGAUCAAGUCCAAGACCCCGAGGUUGCUUCAUCUUCACAAAAAGGCCAUAAAAGAAGCUCAAUUCUUUGUAAUUAUGAUUAUAUUUAGAUGAAAUUGUUGUGCUUUUUGUUAUACAGAAGGAGCUUCUGGACCCGGCGAUCAAAGGAACGCUUAAUGUUCUGACGGCAGCGAAGCAGGCUGGGGUCAGGCGAGUGGUGCUGACAUCCUCCAACGCCGCCAUCAUUCCCAGCCCUUGCUGGCCGUCCGAUAAGAUCAAGGGUGAGGAUUGCUGGACCGAUAUUGACUACUGCAAGCAGAAGGGAGUGAGUUACUGAGUGCCUAAGUUCUUUGUUAUUAUAGUUUGAAAUUUUGAAAAUUGGGGACUGUGAUGUGAUGCUGAUUGUGUAUGGUGUUCGGUUAGUUGUGGUAUUCAUUGUCGAAAACUUUGGCGGAGAAAGCUGCGUGGGAAUUUGCCAAGGAGAAGGGAUUGGAUGUGGUUGUGGUGAAUCCUGGCACCGUGUUGGGCGAUGUCAUUUCGCCCAGGCUCAAUUCUAGCAUGGUGACGCUAGUGCGCCUUCUUGAGGGUAUUGUUCUCUGCACAUUUGUGUUUGAAUAUCUUCUAGGAUUACACCUGGAAGUAGAUUGUUGACUCCAUCCAAUUCUCAUAUGUGCAGUCUUAUUUGAAUACUCUAUUAUUGUGUAAUGUUCUGUUUCCUGAUAGUUUGCCAUGUUAUGUUGCCAAAUUGUUGAUCGAAAUCAUACAUUCAGAUCAGACAUAGUUUUGCAUUUGAUUGACAGUUUGUUUGAUAACAUAACAUCUCUAUAGUAAGAGAACAUUUCCCAUUUAUUAUUUGUGGUAACAUGAGACUAAGGUGACCACGUUCUUAUUGAGGCUGUAGUUGGUAGAUGAACCAGGAAUCAGGUGGACAUUAGAUAUUUUCUGAAAAGACAUUUCUGCUAAAGAAAGGUUUGUGUUUGGUGUUUAAAAUCUUGAAGUAUUUCUUCAUUUAUAAUACUUGAGUUUGUUUGAAGUUUUUUGCUUAGUUAACCCCCAAGUUUGGAGAAGGUGUAUUGCAUGAGAAUAAGUGUGUGUGGCAAUAGAGGAAUCCUUUUGCACCUCUUUGCUAGCAAGCAAAUACUUGGCUCCUUUCCUGCAAAUCACCCUUUCACAUGUGUGCAGAAUUUAUUUUUAUUUUUCUUUCUUUCGAGCGUUUAAUGAGUUAUCUUUGCACACGUGUGAAGCUGUGAUUCGCAAGUACAUAGGACUGGCUUCGUCCAGAUACGAAGCCAUGCAGAGUCCCUGCUAGCAUAUGUUUCUCUUUAAGUUUGAUAGUUUAUGUCAUUAAAGGGUCGGUUUUUGGUUUCCUUAAAUUGUUUAUCCAUGUCACCUUAUCUCUUCUUCUGGUUAGUGGAGGACUGGACAGGAGGGUAAUGGCCCUAGAGACAUCAUGGCUGAAGUAAAAAGGAAAAUCGAUCAACCUUAAAAAGAAAAAUAAUUGACAAUAUCCUUGUCAAUCUUUGCUGCAGGCUGCACUGAAACAUACGAGAACAUCUUUAUGGGAUCUGUGCAUUUUAAAGAUGUAGCUCUUGCACACAUUUUAGUGUAUGAGAACAAAUCGGCCACUGGUAGACACCUGUGCGUUGAAGCUAUAUCACAUUAUGGUGACUUCGUGGCCAAGGUAGCUGAACUUUACCCUGAGUACAAGGUGCCGAGGUAAAUUCCAGUCCUUGGACACCUGUAAAGUGGUUUUGCAACUGAAUCUAUGUGCAUAUAUAUAUUUUUCCAUAACUAUGUGCAUAUAUAUAUAUAUUUUUUUGCCAUAACUAUGUGCAUAUCUUAAGUUUAGGAGUUUGGUUUCCUGAUAACAACAAUAAGCAUCAGAACGUCAAAUAUGCAGUAUUGUGAAACUGAUACCCUAUGUUAUAAUUGAUAGCAAAACAACAGAUGAUCAAGCUCGACCUCAUCAUAACACAGCUACAGCUCAAUGUACUGAAAUUAUGUUCUCACAAAUGGUUCUAACUGAUUGUAUUUAGUUAGACAGGUUGAGUGAUUUUAGGGAUUAGUCUGUAACUGUAUUGCUAAAGCUUACUAUAAAUACUUGUAAAUCCUUCUCCAUAAAUUAAUGAGAGAAAAUCUGUUAUUUUACAAUAAUUAUUGUCAAGACAUCAAAUGCUUCCUUGCAACUUCUUUAACUGCCAGUACUCCUUUUACAGUCAUUUCAUGAACAUAUGGCUUUGAAAUUGCUCAAGCUAUUAAUAUGUUUAUUAUUGUGCAGUUUGCCGAAGGAUACCCAACCUGGGUUGCUGAGGGAAAAAAAUGGAGCGAAGAAGCUAAUGAACUUGGGUUUAGAAUUCAUUCCCAUGGAUCAAAUCAUCAAGGAUGCUGUUGAGAGCCUAAAGAGCAAGGGAUUUAUUUCAUAAACGAAACUGAAGGAUAUGAAACUUAUGAGGAACCUAGUUAUUGUAGAAGUGGUGAGGACAUGCAACCUAAAUGAUAUAGUUAAUGGAUUGUGUUUAAUAUUAUGUACCAGUCAUGCCUCCGUGCAAUCUGUAUAUGAAUAAAUAAGCAACAUUUGAAUGUUCAUAAUCUUUUAUGAUGUGGUAUAACAUGGGUGAAAGGAUGAGUAAACAAUACAAGUACCGGCCCGAGUGGUUAAGAAUUUGACCCUUGUUGGAAUUGUUCUCAUUAUGGUUCUGCUAUCUGUGAAAUUUCCUUCGAUGCAUAUCAAUCUCAGGUUCUUGCAAUUUUCUUAUUGUGCUGUUUUAGGCGGUCUACAAGCAGCCUGUGUUGGCUGUGCUGGUUUUGCUGCAUUUUCAGUGCUGAUAGAGAAGUUUUUGGAUAGACAUGAUUGAAUUUGAGGGCAUUUCUAUGUUGCCCCAUUUUUGCAGACUAAAAGUGCACAGAUCAGUAGGAGAGAAAUAGCAUCUUGGCCUGCAGUAAUACAGAUGUUUUGCUUAGAUUCAACUUCAGCCCUUGUUAUUAUUAUUUAUCCCCUUUUAUAAAGGGAUGUACCAGCUAAAUUACAAAGCCAAUCAUUUUGUAUUAUGUUAUUCUGUUGACUGCAGUUCCAGUUUCAUAAUUUCAACAGAGGAUAUGUAACUGAGGAAAUUGAAUGGAUUAUAGAGAAUGUUUGCUGCAAGAUUCAAGUAAGUACGUAGAAGGGAAUUUCUUGUUCCAUUGUUGUAUUAAUACCACAAUACAAUACUAGACUAGAAAUGGUAAUGAAUUUUUUUUUUUUCUCUGAUUGACGAAAGAGGGGAUUCGAACUUGAGAUUUCUUCUUUCCAUUGGAGGAUAAUACUCUUUAAGUAGUUAUUGCGAGAGAAAAUUUGUGUCUUUGAUUGGAAAAACUCGGGUGAGAAUUUCCUUAUCACAUGGCAGGAUGAAUGUCAAACAUUGACCAGUUCUAACAUAACAUGUGUUUAUAACACACGCUAUAGCACGUGACAAGGAAGAUCCACCCUAUCAAAAAUUGAGAGUCACUAGAAUGCACAAGUAAUUAAAUUUCUACCAUGAAAGUAAAUUUUUUUUAAAAUUUAUUAUAACUUAUUCUAAAAAAAUAUCAGUGGCAAAUUAAAUUUUAGGUGCAAUAGUAGAUCAUGAUAUUGUAUCUUCCUUUUGGCAUUCGAGUUUAAAUCUCUCUCCCUGUAAAUUAGAGUAGUUUAGAAUAUUAUCCAUUCUUCAAAAUAAAAAAUUAGACAUGGGUAUCGAAGUUCUUUUCGGCUUGUUUUAGAAGGUUCUCCGACGUGGCCCAAAUCCAACUGGUCACCAGCAACAAGUAGCUGAAGUAACUGUAACCAAGCAAAGCUCUCCUCUCGGAAGAGGUACUAACUAGGAACGAUAAUAUGUCGAAGACAGGUGAGGUCGUAUGCGUUACCGGUGGAAGUGGGUGCAUUGGAUCAUGGCUCGUCCGUCUCCUCCUCGACCGUAAUUACACCGUCCAUGCCACUGUCAAAGAUCUCAGUUAGUUUACCCUUUGCCUUUUCUAUUUAUCUACACAACUGCCAUUUCCUUGCUGUUCAGUCUGAAACGUCGUCGUGUCGUUUUUGUUGCAGAGGACGAGGGUGAGACGAAGCAUCUAGAAGCCCUAGAAGGAGCAGCGACGCGUCUCCGUCUCUUCCAGAUCGACCUCCUCGACUACAACUCCAUCUUCGCCGCCAUCAAUGGCUGCUCCGGCGUCUUCCACCUCGCCUCUCCUUGCAUCGUCGAUCAAGUCCAAGACCCCGAGGUUGCUUCAUCUUCACAAAAAGGCCAUAAAAGAAGCUCAAUUCUUUGUAAUUAUGAUUAUAUUUAGAUGAAAUUGUUGUGCUUUUUGUUAUACAGAAGGAGCU